This 252-nucleotide unclassified non-coding RNA is filed under the name uncultured bacterium. RNAcentral describes it as "contains 16S-23S intergenic spacer region". It matches the Rfam family "Bacterial small subunit ribosomal RNA", at positions 524 to 776 of the family's 1533-position model. The record is from RNAcentral.
UACGGAGAGGGCAAGUGUUACUCUCAAUGAUUGGGCGUAAAGGGCAUGUAGGUUGUUUAUUAUGUAAGAAUAAAAUGCUAGAAAUAUACUAGUAAAAUUUUUUAUACUAAUAACACUAGAGUAUAAAAGGAGUUAGUUGAACUUUCAGUGGAGAGGUAGAAUUCUUAGAUAUUGCAGAGUCAAUCAAUAGGUGUAAACUACUAACUAUUUUAUUACUGACAUUUAUGUGCAAAGGCUUAGGUAUCGAACAGG